Molecule: ribosomal RNA, 450 nt
Filed under: uncultured bacterium
Lineage: Bacteria
Description: partial 16S ribosomal RNA
Rfam family: Bacterial small subunit ribosomal RNA
Source: RNAcentral
GUGGGGAAUUUUGGACAAUGGGCGCAAGCCUGAUCCAGCAAUGCCGCGUGCAGGAAGAAGGCCUUCGGGUUGUAAACUGCUUUUGUACGGAACGAAACGGUCCGGGUUAAUACCCUGGGCUAAUGACGGUACCGUAAGAAUAAGCACCGGCUAACUACGUGCCAGCAGCCGCGGUAAUACGUAGGGUGCAAGCGUUAAUCGGAAUUACUGGGCGUAAAGCGUGCGCAGGCGGUUUUGUAAGACAGGCGUGAAAUCCCCGGGCUCAACCUGGGAAUUGCGCUUGUGACUGCAAGGCUGGAGUGCGGCAGAGGGGGAUGGAAUUCCGCGUGUAGCAGUGAAAUGCGUAGAUAUGUGGAGGAACACCGAUGGCGAAGGCAAUCCCCUGGGCCUGCACUGACGCUCAUGCACGAAAGCGUGGGGAGCAAACAGGAUUAGAUACCCCGGUAGUCC